GAUGAACGCUGGCGGCGUGCCUAACACAUGCAAGUCGAACGGAGAUUACGGACGGAAGUUUUCGGAUGGAAGCCUGUAAUUCUUAGUGGCGGACGGGUGAGUAACGCGUGGGCAACCUGCCCUAUACAGGGGGAUAGCAGCUGGAAACGGCUGGUAAGACCGCAUAAGUCGGUUAAAUCGCAUGAUUUGAUCGGGAAAUGAGCAAUCAGGUAUAGGAUGGGCCCGCGUCCGAUUAGCCAGUUGGCAGGGUAAAAGCCUACCAAAGCGACGAUCGGUAGCCGGACUGAGAGGUCGGACGGCCACAUUGGGACUGAGACACGGCCCAAACUCCUACGGGAGGCAGCAGUGGGGGAUAUUGCACAAUGGAGGAAACUCUGAUGCAGCGACGCCGCGUGAGUGAAGAAGUAUUUCGGUAUGUAAAGCUCUAUCAGCAGGGAAGAUGAUGACGGUACCUGACUAA
Molecule: ribosomal RNA, 460 nt
Filed under: Catonella morbi
Lineage: Bacteria; Bacillati; Bacillota; Clostridia; Lachnospirales; Lachnospiraceae
Description: bacterial SSU rRNA
Rfam family: Bacterial small subunit ribosomal RNA
Source: RNAcentral